UCAUGGAGUCCCUGGCUCCCACUUGGGGUGCGUGUCUCUCCACCCAGGGGCACCCCAAAGCAGCAAGAAGCACCCCCGCUGGAUGGGGACAGGUGGACAAGCUUUCAGGGGGAGGUUGAGGCAGGCCUGGGAAAAAAGGCCAAACUGAGGUUGCGGAGGAAACCACCACCAUGAAAUUUAGAGAGAGGGGCCAAUUCAUGGAGUUGCAGCAGAGAUUUUGCUUACCUGGAGCAGAAGCUGCUGAAAUCAUACAAAGAUAGAAACAUACUGAAUUAGUCCAUUUUUACGAGGCUAAUAAAGACAUACCUGAGACUGGGUAAUUUAUAAA
Molecule: non-coding RNA, 328 nt
Organism: Macaca mulatta (Rhesus monkey)
Lineage: Eukaryota; Metazoa; Chordata; Mammalia; Primates; Cercopithecidae
Source: RefSeq, a predicted model, not a curated record